Molecule: ribosomal RNA, 488 nt
Filed under: uncultured bacterium
Lineage: Bacteria
Description: bacterial SSU rRNA
Rfam family: Bacterial small subunit ribosomal RNA
Source: RNAcentral
GAUGAACGCUAGCGGCAGGCCUAACACAUGCAAGUCGAGGGGCAGCACGUCUUCGGAUGGUGGCGACCGGCGCACGGGUGCGUAACGCGUAUGCAACCUACCUCUUACAGUGGGAUAGCCCAGAGAAAUUUGGAUUAAUACCGCAUAGUAUACAGAUUCAGCAUUGGGGCUGUAUUAAACAUUUAUGGGUAAGAGAUGGGCAUGCGUUCUAUUAGUUAGUUGGAGUGGUAACGGCACCCCAAGACAGCGAUAGAUAGGGGCCCUGAGAGGGGGAUCCCCCGACACUGGUACUGAGACACGGACCAGACUCCUACGGGAGGCAGCAGUGAGGAUAUUGGACAAUGGGCAGAGCCUGAUCCAGCCAUGCCGCGUGCAGGAAGACGGCCCUAUGGGUUGUAAACUGCUUUUGUACGGGAAGAACACCCCCUCGUGAGGGGGCUUGACGGUACCGUAAGAAUAAGGAUCGGCUAACUCCGUGCCAGCAGCCG